CGUGGCGUCAGGACGAACGGCUGGCGGCGUGCUUAACACAUGCAAGUCGAACGGUGAAGCGGAGCUUGCUCUGCGGAUCAGUGGCGAACGGGUGAGUAACACGUGAGCAACCUACCCUUGACUCUGGGAUAACAGUUGGAAACAGCUGCUAAUACCGGAUAUGACCCUGGUGGACAUCCACUGGGGUGGAAAGCUCCGACGGUCAAGGAUGGGCUCGCGGCCUAUCAGCUUGUUGGUGAGGUAACGGCUCACCAAGGCGUCGACGGGUAGCCGGCCUGAGAGGGCGAUCGGCCACACUGGGACUGAGAUACGGCCCAGACUCCUACGGGAGGCAGCAGUGGGGAAUAUUGCACAAUGGGCGAAAGCCUGAUGCCAGCAACGCCGCGUGCGGGAUGACGGCCUUCGGGUUGUAAACCGCUUUCAGCAGGGACGAAGGGUUUCUGACGGUACCUGCAGAAGAAGCACCGGCUAACUACGUGCCAGCCGCCGC
Molecule: ribosomal RNA, 490 nt
Filed under: uncultured bacterium
Lineage: Bacteria
Description: bacterial SSU rRNA
Rfam family: Bacterial small subunit ribosomal RNA
Source: RNAcentral